RNAcentral lists this ribosomal RNA (501 nucleotides) under uncultured bacterium. RNAcentral describes it as "bacterial SSU rRNA". It matches the Rfam family "Bacterial small subunit ribosomal RNA", at positions 567 to 1071 of the family's 1533-position model. The record is from RNAcentral.
GUGCGUAGGCGGCCUGUUAAGUCAGCGGUGAAAUCUAGGAGCUUAACUCCUAAAUUGCCAUUGAUACUGGCGGGCUUGAGUGUAGAUGAGGUAGGCGGAAUGCGUGGUGUAGCGGUGGAAUGCAUAGAUAUCACGCAGAACUCCGAUUGCGAAGGCAGCUUACUAAGGUACAACUGACGCUGAAGCACGAAAGCGUGGGUAUCAAACAGGAUUAGAUACCCUGGUAGUCCACGCAGUAAACGAUGAUAACUGGGCGUAUGCGAUAUACAGUAUGCUCCUAAGCGAAAGCGUUAAGUUAUCCACCUGGGGAGUACGCCGGCAACGGUGAAACUCAAAGGAAUUGACGGGGGCCCGCACAAGCGGAGGAACAUGUGGUUUAAUUCGAUGAUACGCGAGGAACCUUACCCGGGAUUGAAAUGUAGAUGACCGCUCCUGAAAGGGAGUUUUCCUUCGGGACAUCUAUGUAGGUGCUGCAUGGUUGUCGUCAGCUCGUGUCGUGAG